GGUGGGGCCUCACGUGCGGCUGAGGCGCUGUGAUUGCUCGGUCUCAAAGUAAACGCUCUGACGCCCUGUGG
Lontra canadensis (Northern American river otter) is the source of this 71-nucleotide small nucleolar RNA. RefSeq annotates it as small nucleolar RNA U105B. The transcript has a single exon. NCBI's taxonomy places the organism in Eukaryota, Metazoa, Chordata, Mammalia, Carnivora, Mustelidae. The record is from RefSeq and is a predicted model, not a curated record.